GGUUAUAGCUCAGUGGUAGAGUGCUAGCCUUGCACGUGCAAGGCCCUGGAUUCAAUCCUCAGGACCA
This 67-nucleotide transfer RNA is filed under the name Marmota monax (woodchuck). Its description in RNAcentral is "tRNA.Ala". Lineage: Eukaryota; Metazoa; Chordata; Mammalia; Rodentia; Sciuridae. The record is from RNAcentral.